AAAAAUACUUAAAGCUAGAUACGUUGCUGAAGGGUACAACCAGAUAGAAGGCAUAGACUGCCAUAAGACGUUAGCUCCGACAGCAAACUUCCGUACAGGCAUUGAUGCAGGUAGCAGUGCAAAAUAACUUAAUUGUCCAUCAGAUGGAUGUCAAAGCAGCAAUCUUGGAACAACCAGAGGGUUUUGAAAAGGCAUCAGAGACAGUGGAGAAUUAGUAUGUAAAUAAAAGAAAUCCCUUUACGGUCUAAAACAGUCGUGGGGAAAUUGGUACGAACUUCUGUAUGAUUAACUAGAACAAAACAACUUUGUGAGAAAUCUAUCCGACCACUGUGUGUAUAGAAACAGAUAAGCAAUGAGACAAUCAUUGUAAUUAUCUGGGUUGAUGAUCUAAUCAUUGUUGCCAGCAAUAAUGACCUGCUAAACAGGUUCUAAGACAGACCUGGGUAAGAUGAGAGUGAAGAAGAGCCAGAAAAUUCGGCUGGUGUAUCAGUUGGAGGCUCAAGCCCAAACCAAUUACACUGGCAGACUCCACCAUCUCACUGAGUGCCAUGCAGCAGAGUCACUACUCCUCAACCUGGAGGAAACUGUCUAGCACCUGACCAUGGGGCCGGACCGCAACACCCUUCACCACCUCAACUCCCUGCACCUGUAUUUAACAUGAGGAGAGUUACUCAAGGAACGGCAGUCCCUCCUCAACUCCCUCCACCCCCCGCACCGGCCCUCAACAUGAGGCGAACAGAGGAGCCCUCUUCAAGCCUGGCCUACAGACCAACAUGGCGAGGGGGAGGAAUGACCGAUACCAUUCCCUGCUCUGUGGCUGAGGUCCACAUCCUUAGCCUGUUGGAGACCAUUAAACAACAACAAGACCAGCUUGUGGCAAAGGUGAACUACCUCAGCAGCAGGCUGAACAGCACCCCGGGGCCAGAUGUUGAGAUGCCGGACAAUAUCCAGUUUCCCCUGGAACAAUUGGAGGCAGUGGAGGCAUUUGAAAUGUUUUUAAAGGAACCGUCAAAUGGC
Esox lucius (northern pike) is the source of this 1017-nucleotide long non-coding RNA. Lineage: Eukaryota; Metazoa; Chordata; Actinopteri; Esociformes; Esocidae. The record is from Ensembl.